RNAcentral lists this ribosomal RNA (429 nucleotides) under Acidobacteriota bacterium. RNAcentral describes it as "Acidobacteria bacterium partial 16S ribosomal RNA". It matches the Rfam family "Bacterial small subunit ribosomal RNA", at positions 355 to 776 of the family's 1533-position model. Lineage: Bacteria; Pseudomonadati; Acidobacteriota. The record is from RNAcentral.
UGGGGAAUUUUGGACAAUGGGGGAAACCCUGAUCCAGCCAUCCCGCGUGUGCGAUGAAGGCCUUCGGGUUGUAAAGCACUUUUGGCAGGAAAGAAACGUCAUGGGUUAAUACCCCGUGAAACUGACGGUACCUGCAGAAUAAGCACCGGCUAACUACGUGCCAGCAGCCGCGGUAAUACGUAGGGUGCAAGCGUUAAUCGGAAUUACUGGGCGUAAAGCGUGCGCAGGCGGUUCGGAAAGAAAGAUGUGAAAUCCCAGAGCUCAACUUUGGAACUGCAUUUUUAACUACCGGGCUAGAGUGUGUCAGAGGGAGGUGGAAUUCCGCGUGUAGCAGUGAAAUGCGUAGAUAUGCGGAGGAACACCGACGGCGAAGGCAGCCUCCUGGGAUAACACUGACGCUCAUGCACGAAAGCGUGGGGAGCAAACAGG